GUGGAUUAGAUACCCUGGUAGUCCUAGCAGUAAACGAUGGACACUAGGUGUCGGUGGUGUUCACCCCAUCGGUGCCGUAGCUAACGCGUUAAGUGUCCCGCCUGGGGACUACGGCCGCAAGGCUAAAACUCAAAGGAAUUGACGGGGGCCCGCACAAGCAGCGGAGCGUGUGGUUUAAUUCGACGUAACACGAAGAACCUUACCAGGACUUGACAUGUACAGGCAAUCCGUGGAAACACGGCCCUCCCUAUGGGACCUGUACACAGGUGCUGCAUGGCUGUCGACAACU
This 289-nucleotide ribosomal RNA is filed under the name uncultured bacterium. RNAcentral describes it as "partial 16S ribosomal RNA". It matches the Rfam family "Bacterial small subunit ribosomal RNA", at positions 773 to 1060 of the family's 1533-position model. The record is from RNAcentral.